Molecule: ribosomal RNA, 263 nt
Filed under: uncultured archaeon
Lineage: Archaea
Description: partial 16S ribosomal RNA
Rfam family: Archaeal small subunit ribosomal RNA
Source: RNAcentral
CAGCCGUAAACUAUGCGCGUUAGGUGUGCUGGUGACCACGUGUCACCGGGGUGCCGAAGGGAAACCGUGAAACGUGCCGCCUGGGAAGUACGGUCGCAAGGCUGAAACUUAAAGGAAUUGGCGGGGGGAGCACCACAACGGGUGGAGCCUGCGGUUUAAUUGGACUCAACGCCGGAAAUCUCACCGGAUAGGACAGACAAAUAGAUAGUCGGGCUGAAGACUCUACUUGAUGAUCUGAGAGGAGGUGCAUGGCGUCAGUGACU